Non-coding RNA from Podarcis lilfordi (Lilford's wall lizard), 70 nucleotides. Lineage: Eukaryota; Metazoa; Chordata; Lepidosauria; Squamata; Lacertidae. The record is from the annotation of a GenBank genome assembly.
GGAUAGCUCAUUCGAUAGAGCAUGAGACUCUUAAAUCUCGGGUUUGUGGGUUCGAGCCCCACGUUGGGCA